UUUGGGAAGGCAGAAGGGUGGGGCUUGGGCCGCGAGCGGACGGCGGGAGGAGGGCGCAGAAAGGGGAAUCGGAAGCUGCCCGGCUUCACAAUAAUCUGGUUGGAAACGCCGUGCAGUGCCCCGAGCCGCAGGAGCCGGAGCCAAUUACAAGUUUAUGUAAUGGAGUAAGUCUCUCUGGCCUCCCUCCUCCGCCCCGCCCCUGCCGGCUCCGGGAUGGGGGAGGAAUGGCUCUGAAAUGCAGGAUUGCUCCCGGAUGGAGGAGGUCCUUUCUGGGUUUACCCCUCGGGGCCCUUUCCCUGCGCGAGGCACUUCUCGGGUCCGCUUUUGGGUUCUGGAAGCCUCUGGGCCCCGCAGACCCCUCAGGGAAGCCGAGGGGGCGGGGAGCCAGGUCGCCCCAGGUCGGCCCGGAGCUAAGGGAGGAGGCGCCCGGGCGGCGUUCACGCGGCUUCCCCGUGGCACGGUGGGAGCUCGCCGGCCUUUACGUAACUCCGGCCCUUCGCGGAGGCCCGUGUGAUACACUGAGUCACGGGAACGCGAGCGGGAGAGCACCAGCAGUGCCCGCCCACGUGGCCGUCAGAUGACUUGCGCGAAGUUUGCACGGGCUCGAUUACCGUAAGGCUGAAGGCUUCUGAUCAGCAUCCGCUAUUAGUCAUCCCCGAGGGACAUUUGAUACAGGCAACCGCCCAGGGCUGGGACAGAGCAGCGAGGAUGACGGGAUACGGGAGUGAAUGCUGCGCCGGCCACCUCUGAGUUCUGUUGGAACCCGAGUGUAUGCCGAGUCAAGGAAACCUACUGCGGAAAGUGCCAGGGAAGACAAGUCACUUUCCUGGACAAAGAUUCUUAGAUUCUUCUGGGCUAGUUGCAGAGAGUCCGGGAGAAACUGUUCAAAGGGAACCUGGCAGGCAACGGACCAGGCUUCAGAUUUAUGGAUUGGUUUUAGAGAUUGAGUGCUCCCCACCUGUUAAAAAUACACGAUUUUCACAUCAACUAUCUGUCAGUUUCUCUAUCCUAGAGUGAGGCCCAAGGACCAGCCCUGCCUCCACCCAGAAUCGGAGUCUGUACGUGAAGGAGCAUGUGCAUGCAGACAACACAGUGUCCUAGCUGCUGAGUGUGACAGCCCAUGGUAAACACUGCAUGGACUCCUACAAACACUCCCAUGUGUGGAGGAAUGUGCAGUCCCGGUCUUUGACCAUUGGUUAAUUCAAUCAAGAUUUAUCCACAGCCUAAAUUCUAGAGCCAAUCCGGUGGAAACCAACCAGGGCUGAAUCAGAAAACUCCUGGUUUCACCUUGAACAUGCCUUUGCAAUGCAAAGCAUACUCCAGCAUAUGUACAAUUUGUUUUGUUAGAAAGGGAGGGAAAAACAUGGAAGGGAGAUAAGGUGUUUCUUAACAGUUAAAGGGAGUGGGAGGGAGAAAACAACUGUUGCUUUCACGGGCAGCAGUUAACGCCAAACGCAAUUUUCUACUUAAAGGAAGAACAAAUAUACUGGGGUGGUAGGCUUUUGAAAGGAGGAGUAGAGUUGGGGUGAGUGGAAACCUCACCCUGGCUUUAUUUAGCUGUAGGGCCUUGUUAAGACACAUUUGCCCUGAGAUAAAAGGUUUUCUUUUGGGACAAGCCCAGAAUGACUUUGCUUGAUUCAAUUAAGCAAGGCCUAAUGAAAGAGAAUUCCAGCUUGGAGAUAUGCAUCAUCUCACCAGGUGAGUUGUAAAUACAUUCUGUCCAGGUUUAAGAGGCAAGCUCUUGAAAAUUUAAUCUAUUUUAAAAAUGCAUAUCCUUGCCACAAAUUUUACAAAUUGCUUUGAAGAAGAUCGCUGUGCUGAUUGCAUGCUGAGAUAAUUAUUCUGUAUCACCACUUAGGGAACAAGAUUUUUUGAUAAAGACUACAGUGUCACUCUUUGUUAAUGACUUGGGAGGGGAAGGAGAGAAUCCAGUACAACUGGGGCUGGUUUUAUCCUCCUGCAUCCUUUUAAUGAACUAUUUCCUUUCAGACUCAGGCUGUGGGAAGCUGGUAGAAUCUUGGCUUAUGAACUUUGAACCUAUUGAGUAAGCUUUGCUCACCUAUCAAAUCCCUCAUACCAACGAAGGUGAGAAUCGUUGGUCUUUACCCUCUUGACUCUGAAAUCAGGCUUGUUGACUCUAAGCAGUCCCCCUAUUGUGCUCCCCAGGUGAAGAUGAAUAGCCAAAUGGGGAUACAGAACCCUGCUCUACCUCCUCAGGGACUAGCUCCUAUGUACCCUUAAGGACUUAGCUCUCUGUCUCCAGAGGGAGAGCUCUGAGGAGUCAUCAGUGAAGGAGCCUGUGAUAGCGUGUUGAUGGAUGCUGAGUAGCUGCGAGUCUGCGCCUCUCUUCUGGAUAAUAUGGCAGUCCGGGACACACAGAAAUCUGGUUUGGGCUUUUACACUAAGCAAAUAGCUGAACUUAAACUGGGCAGUCAGCUGUAAGUUAUCUUCCUGGGACACAGUAACUCCAAGCUUCUCAUUGAGAUUUGGCAGAUUGGAAGAUGGAAUUCAGACUGAGGAUUUGGGGUGAGAGUGGAACAUGUCUCUAGCUCUUUUUCUAUCUAAAGCCAGCCUCCCAAGAAACUGAUGCAGAGAGGGAACCACCCUGCCUGGGGUUCGGGUAAGCCACUUUCAGAAUCUCAAGUAAUCUCCAUGCCAUGUGAUUGGAUGAUCUAAGGCACCCAUCUCAAUGCCCAGAGCAUGGCUGGGGCUCUGCGGCUGUUCGGUCUUCUUCCCACCCCUACCACCCCUGCCUGGAGCCUGUCCACACCCAGCUGACUCCUGGGAAAGACCACUCUGGCAUCCGGCUCUGAGCUGUCACAGACAGGUGGCCCUCUUGGUCCACCAGAGUGAUAGGAUGCCAACCACUAGCUGCCUCAAGGAGCUUGUGAGCAGCCCCAGGCUUGACCUUCCAGAGGAAAGGCCCAGCAUUGACCCCAGAAGCUCAGGAGGGGACAUGACCUCCUUCUAUCUUGCUCAGGAUUUUUCUCUGUGCACGCAGGGCCAUCACAUGGAUCUGCAUUCACAUUUGCAUCUGCCACCAGGUAUUUUCCCAACAUACACAGCACCAGGAGCUGGAAUUUCCCACCUCUGUCCCUUGUGGGAGGACUGCCAACCAGUCCUGCAGUAGGAGCUGAGCAUUUAGAUGGUGCUUGCCGUUACAUGCAUCCUGUUUUCAAAGACAGAAAAGGGCCAGACCUCCACAUUGUUUUUCCAGGGUGCAGAUUAAAGUUUUUCCUUCUCAUAAUCUCAAAUAUGCACCUGGAGUCCCACCCUCUCGGGUUUUGUCAUUAUUGAGAACAACUUCAUAUCUAAUUAUAAGAAAAAAACCUGAUUUAACUGAUAGCUAGCCAGCCAUCAAAUGUCACUGAGGAGACCUGAUUUAUCCUUUUUAUACAUACUAGAAGAGCAAAGGAACAAAGAGUUAGGAACAAAUGCUAGACACAGCAAUGACACAUAUCAUUAAGUAAAAAUGUGACUAGCCUCGUUUACAAGUGUUGCCCCUUUUAACAGGCACACACCCCGCAUUUUCAUUAACCCUGGGUGGCUGAAUCGCAGCAUGUCUAACUGAAAUGCUGAGAAUUUUGUCAAAGCCCGCCUUAAUGGAAAAGGCAGGGCCACCUACCAUGAACUUUUCUCUAUGACUUCAUUCUUCAGCAGUGCUCAAGUGUAAAUAAACUUGUUUACCACGAUCAGAAUGGUGAUGUUAAUGAAGUCUUAUUUGUAUCCCCACAAUGACAAGUAAUCUGUGCAGAGUUGAACUCAGGAGAGUGGAGGAAAUAACUAGAGAAAUUGUAUUUCUGUUCUAAAGUUUCCAUACAAAUGCCUUGGGCCAAAGUUAGUACAGUCAAUAUUCUUCUUUGAUUUUGAUUGUGCAUCCAUAGUAGAGAAAAAGCUUAUUACUGUGCCUAAUGUGGUAAACAAAAUUAUACUGUAUGCAACGAGAACAAAAGUCAAGUAAGAAGCAUUGAUAAAUGCACCAACGGGGUAACCGUUGUGGCCAGUAUGUGGUUUUUAUGAAAUGAAUGCAUGAAUACAAGGGCCCUAAUUAUUGCUUUCAAUUGACAAACCAUGGUAAAUAUAGAGAAUGUUGCAGCACAACUCUGGCUGUGUUGCAAAACAGCUUUAGAAGUAAAUAUGGAAAUUCUUGUGUACAUGGCAUUAUAUAAAACAUUUUUUUAAAAAGCAAAGCAAUUUUUUAAUACCUUAUUGAGUAGACCUGGUGGAUGACUAAUUUUGUUUGUUUUUGUUGUUCUAACGUGUGGAUCCACAAACUGCAGCCUGUGGGCUGGACCUGACCCACUGCCUGUUUUUAUAAAUAAAGUUUUA
Non-coding RNA from Manis javanica (Malayan pangolin), 4329 nucleotides. The record is from RefSeq and is a predicted model, not a curated record. Lineage: Eukaryota; Metazoa; Chordata; Mammalia; Pholidota; Manidae.